AGAAAAGCAAUUAAGAGCACACAGGGAAUGCCUUGGCUCUCAGAGGCGAUGAAGGACGUGAUAAGCUGCGAUAAGCUGCGGGUAGGUGCAAACAACCUUUAAUCCGCAGAUUUCCGAAUGGGACAACCCGGCUGGCUGAAGGCCAGUCACCGCGCAAGCGGGGCUAACCUGGGGAACUGAAACAUCUAAGUACCCAGAGGAAUAGAAAUCAACCGAGAUUCCCGGAGUAGCGGCGAGCGAAAUGGGAACAGCCCUUAAGUUUAUUGAUUCUUAGAAGAACAUUCUGGAAAGUUUGACCAUAGAAGGUGAUAGUCCUGUAAUUGAAAAGAAUCUAUAAAUGAAAUCGAGUAGGGCGGGACACGUGAAAUCCUGUCUGAAUAUGGGGGGACCAUCCUCCAAGGCUAAAUACU
RNAcentral lists this ribosomal RNA (410 nucleotides) under uncultured Chitinophagaceae bacterium. RNAcentral's name for it is "bacterial LSU rRNA". It matches the Rfam family "Bacterial large subunit ribosomal RNA", at positions 1 to 474 of the family's 2925-position model. The record is from RNAcentral. Lineage: Bacteria; Pseudomonadati; Bacteroidota; Chitinophagia; Chitinophagales; Chitinophagaceae.